CUUCCUGUUUAAUAACUAUGGACAGUCAUAUUUCUCUCGCCUGUUCACACAUCAAAAAGACCAGAUCACCUAGGCAGAACUGAUAAAAGGACACGAUUUUGUCACGAAUAUGAUCCAGGCCAUGACUGAACAAAACACCACAACAUUAGGAGAGAAUGCGGUGUGGGCUAGGGGGUUAUCCAAGCGAUACGGAAAGAAAGAUGAUCCAGUCCUUCAAAACCUGGCGAUGACUGUAGAGAGAGGCUCUAUAUAUGGACUAUUGGGGCCGAGUGGAUGUGGUAAGACCACCUUACUGCGGUGUAUCGUAGGCCGCCUGUCUGUGGACCGUGGUAACCUAGUGGUUCUGGGGGAGAAACCGGGAACGCCAGGACACGGGAUACCAGGAAGUCUGGUCGGGUACAUGCCACAGGAAAUGGCGUUGUUUAACAAGAUGACAAUCAGAGAAACACUUUUCUACUUCGGCCGCAUACAUAGAAUGUCAAGUCACCAGAUAGAUGAGAGGAUUUUGUUCCUGCUACAGUUCCUUACCCUUCCUGAUCAGGGUAGAAUAGUGGACACGCUCAGCGGGGGACAGAAGAGACGUGUGUCAUUUGCUGUGGCACUUCUACACGAGCCGGAACUACUGAUCCUGGACGAACCAACCGUAGGGGUGGACCCUCUUCUACGGGAACGAAUUUGGGAACAUCUGGUGAAAAUAGCGGGACAUGACAGCCUAAAAACAACCAUUAUCAUCACAACCCACUAUAUUGAGGAGGCGAGACAGGCCAACACUGUGGGAUUGAUGAGGGGUGGUCGUUUGCUGGCUGAGGAGGAACCGAACAUAUUGAUCCAAAAACAUCACAUAAAUAGCCUGGAAGCUGUUUUCCUUAAACUUUGCCAAAAUGACGAUCUGGCUGAAGGUGAUGACUUGGAAAACGGCCAUGUAAUGUCGGCUGGAACUACUGAUGUAGGGGAGAGAACUCCACUUCUGGCUGGCAACAGAGGUGUGGAAUUCAGCGAAGAGAUACAAACAGAUCAUAUAUAUGAACACAAGGUAAUAACGACGGGCAGUAGGUGUACCUGUGGACUUCCUAGUGGAAAAAACAUUGUCGCUCAGUUCCUCAAAAACUUAACGCUGAUGAAGCGGAACAUAGGGUUUCUACUGUUUGAGUUCAUACUGCCGUCCAUCCAGAUCGUCCUCUUCUGUUUGUGUAUUGGAGGAGACCCGUACAACCUGAAAGUGGCCAUCUUCAACAAUGAGACCUCAGGGUUCAGCCAUCUGUUUAUACAGAACCUGGACAACACCACCAUCAAUAAGGUGAUGUUCAGUGACCUGGGGUCAGCUCGACAUUGUGUGGAAAAAGGGGAAGCAUGGGGUCUAAUGACAAUAGGGGAAAACUUCACACAGGACCUCAUCACACGAUUUAGCAAUAGUUCCCAUGUAAGCAACAGUACACUGGACGGAGGUACAAUAAAACUCUAUCUGGAUAUGACCAACCAGCAAAUAGCAGUGAUGCUCCAACAGACGGUUGCCGAGGCCUUUGAGACAUUUUCCCGGUCACUACUGACAAUGAUAGGUCUGAAUCCUGACAUUGCACAGCUACCUGUCAAGCUGGGAGAACCAAUAUAUGGCAGCUUAGAUCCCAGUUUCACAAACUUUAUGGCACCUGGCAUCAUACUCAGUAUUACGUUUUUCAUGGCGACUGGCUUGACAACCCUGGCCUUUGUGGUAGAGAAGAAGGAGGGUCUACUGGAGAGAAGCAUUGUUUCAGGUCCCCUACAAAGGCCCUCUGAUCUGGGUGAUUAUACUGGUGUUGUUACAGGGCUUCUGUGGUAUGACUCUAGGUGUGAUCAUAUCUGUUGUUUGUGAAGAAGAAAGUUCUGCAAUACAGUUGGCUUUAGGCUCGGUGUACCCAAUGUUGUUACUCAGUGGGAUAAUCUGGCCAGUAGAAGCUAUGCCACAGUGGCUACGCUACAUCAGUGUAUGUCUACCUAUGACAUACGGAGCCGACGCCAUGCG
Molecule: unclassified non-coding RNA, 1999 nt
Filed under: Mizuhopecten yessoensis (Yesso scallop)
Lineage: Eukaryota; Metazoa; Mollusca; Bivalvia; Pectinida; Pectinidae
Description: aBC transporter G family member 20-like, transcript variant X1
Source: RNAcentral